UACGGAGGAUGCAAGCGUUAUCCGGAUUUAUUGGGUUUAAAGGGUCCGUAGGCGGAUCUUUAAGUCAGUGGUGAAAGCCCACAGCUCAACUGUGGAACUGCCAUUGAUACUGGAGAUCUUGAGUGUAGUAGAAGUAGGCGGAAUAGGGCAUGUAGCGGUGAAAUGCAUAGAUAUGCCCUAGAACACCGAUUGCGAAGGCAGCUUACUAUGUUACAACUGACGCUGAGGGACGAAAGCGUGGGGAGCAAACAGG
RNAcentral lists this ribosomal RNA (253 nucleotides) under uncultured bacterium. RNAcentral describes it as "partial 16S ribosomal RNA". It matches the Rfam family "Bacterial small subunit ribosomal RNA", at positions 524 to 776 of the family's 1533-position model. The record is from RNAcentral.